UCGGCGACCGGCGCACGGGUGAGUAACGCGUAUGCAACCUGCCCGAUACCGGGGUAUAGCCCAUGGAAACGUGGAUUAACACCCCAUAGUACUUUUAUCCUGCAUGGGAUGUGAGUUAAAUGUUCAAGGUAUCGGAUGGGCAUGCGUCCUAUUAGUUAGUUGGCGGGGUAACAGCCCACCAAGACGAUGAUAGGUAGGGGUUCUGAGAGGAAGGUCCCCCACAUUGGAACUGAGACACGGUCCAA
Molecule: ribosomal RNA, 245 nt
Filed under: uncultured bacterium
Lineage: Bacteria
Description: partial 16S ribosomal RNA
Rfam family: Bacterial small subunit ribosomal RNA
Source: RNAcentral